UACGCAGGGUGCAAGCGUUGUCCGGAAUUAUUGGGCGUAAAGAGCUCGUAGGCGGUUUGUCGCGUCUGCUGUGAAAACUCGGGGCUUAACUCCGGGCCUGCAGUGGGUACGGGCAGACUAGAGUGCGGUAGGGGAGACUGGAAUUCCUGGUGUAGCGGUGGAAUGCGCAGAUAUCAGGAGGAACACCGGUGGCGAAGGCGGGUCUCUGGGCCGUAACUGACGCUGAGGAGCGAAAGCGUGGGGAGCGAACAGG
RNAcentral lists this ribosomal RNA (253 nucleotides) under uncultured bacterium. RNAcentral describes it as "partial 16S ribosomal RNA". It matches the Rfam family "Bacterial small subunit ribosomal RNA", at positions 524 to 776 of the family's 1533-position model. The record is from RNAcentral.